Molecule: ribosomal RNA, 505 nt
Filed under: uncultured bacterium
Lineage: Bacteria
Description: bacterial SSU rRNA
Rfam family: Bacterial small subunit ribosomal RNA
Source: RNAcentral
AGUUUGAUCCUGGCUCAGGAUGAACGCUAGCGGCAGGCUUAAUACAUGCAAGUCGUGGGGCAGCAGGUUUGUAGCAAUACAGAUGCUGGCGACCGGCAAACGGGUGCGGAACACGUACAGAACCUUCCUUUGAGCGGGGAAUAGCCCAGAGAAAUUUGGAUUAAUACCCCAUAGUAUAAUGAAGUGGCAUCACUUUAUUAUUAAAGAUUUAUCACUCGAAGAUGGCUGUGCGGCUGAUUAGGUAGUUGGCGGGGUAAAGGCCCACCAAGCCUGCGAUCAGUAACUGGUGUGAGAGCACGACCAGUCACACGGGCACUGAGACACGGGCCCGACUCCUACGGGAGGCAGCAGUAAGGAAUAUUGGUCAAUGGAGGCAACUCUGAACCAGCCAUGCCGCGUGGAGGAUGAAGGUCCUCUGGAUUGUAAACUUCUUUUAUAUGGGACGAAAAAGGCUUUUCUAAGUCGUCUGACGGUACCAUAUGAAUAAGCACCGGCAAACUCCGUG